Molecule: ribosomal RNA, 447 nt
Filed under: uncultured bacterium
Lineage: Bacteria
Description: bacterial SSU rRNA
Rfam family: Bacterial small subunit ribosomal RNA
Source: RNAcentral
AACGAACGCUGGCGGCAGGCUUAACACGUGCAAGUCGAGCGCCCCGCAAGGGGAGCGGCAGACGGGUGAGUAACGCGUGGGAACGUGCCCUUUGGUUCGGAACAACUCCGGGAAACUGGAGCUAAUACCGGAUAAGCCCUUCGGGGGAAAGAUUUAUCGCCAAAGGAUCGGCCCGCGUCUGAUUAGCUAGUUGGUGAGGUAAUGGCUCACCAAGGCGACGAUCAGUAGCUGGUCUGAGAGGAUGAUCAGCCACACUGGGACUGAGACACGGCCCAGACUCCUACGGGAGGCAGCAGUGGGGAAUAUUGGACAAUGGGCGCAAGCCUGAUCCAGCCAUGCCGCGUGAGUGAUGAAGGCCUAGGGUUGUAAAGCUCUUUUGUCCGGGAAGAUAAUGACUGUACCGGAAGAAUAAGCCCCGGCUAACUUCGUGCCAGCAGCCGCGGUAAU